This 205-nucleotide long non-coding RNA is filed under the name Lathyrus oleraceus (garden pea). Its description in RNAcentral is "Pisum sativum (pea) long non-coding RNA (PSAT_LNC037678)". The record is from RNAcentral. Lineage: Eukaryota; Viridiplantae; Streptophyta; Magnoliopsida; Fabales; Fabaceae.
AAGAACUUAAAAAGAUUUAUUAAUCCAUCCUCUUAUAGUUAAAAGAAGACAAAUUGUCAAUAUAUAAAUUAUAUUUUUUAUACAGUAUAUAUAAAUUAUACAUUUAAAACUAUAUAAUAUGAACUUGAAUGACAAAAGAAAAAAUAUGAAAAAAUGUAUGUAAAGAUCUAUAACAAACAAUAACAUUAAUUAACCAUAUGAGAGG